CAGACGGCUCAGUAACACGUGGUCAAGCUAACCUAUGGACGUGGAUAACCUCGGGAAACUGAGAAUAAACCGCGAUAGAUCAUGAUGCCUGGAAUGGCUUAUGGUCGAAAUAGUUUACUGCCGUAGGAUGCGACUGCGGCCUAUCAGUUUGUUGGUGAGGUAAUGGCCCACCAAGACUAUUACAGGUACGGGCUCUGAGAGGAGAAGCCCGGAGAUGGGUACUGAGACACGGACCCAGGCCCUAUGGGGCGCAGCAGGCGAGAAACCUUAGCAAUGUGCGAAAGCACGACUGGGUUAGUCCGAGUGAUUCCUGCUAAAGGAAUCUUUUGCCGGUUCUAAAAGCACCGGUGAAUAAGGGGUGGGCAAGUCUGGUGUCAGCCGCCGCGGUAAUACCAGCACCUCGAGUGAUCAGGACGUUUAUUGGGCCUAAAGCAUCCGUAGCUGGCUUUGCAAGUCUCCGGUUAAAUCAACCUGCUCAACAGAUUGGCCGCUGGAGAUACUACAAAGCUAGGGAGUGGGAGAGGCAGACGGUAUUCGGGGGGUAGGGGUAAAAUCCUCUGAUCCUCUGAGGACCACCAGUGGCGAAGGCGGUCUGCCAGAACACGUUCGACAGUGAGGGAUGAAAGCUGGGGGAGCAAACC
Molecule: ribosomal RNA, 641 nt
Filed under: uncultured archaeon
Lineage: Archaea
Description: bacterial SSU rRNA
Rfam family: Archaeal small subunit ribosomal RNA
Source: RNAcentral